Long non-coding RNA from Onychostoma macrolepis, 3900 nucleotides. RefSeq lists it as uncharacterized. NCBI's taxonomy places the organism in Eukaryota, Metazoa, Chordata, Actinopteri, Cypriniformes, Cyprinidae. The transcript is spliced from 3 exons. The record is from RefSeq and is a predicted model, not a curated record.
GAUAACACACAGGCAAGCGAGUUAAAGAAAAAUUAUAAUAAAGAACACUCUAAUUUGGUCUCUUUCCUGCUUCUUUUUUGCUCUAGGCCUUCAUCUGCCCCAUAAACACAUGAAGGGAUGCAUUCAACUUCAAAAACUCAUUCAUCACAAUGUUAUAUUCUGAGGACUCUGGUGUCAUGUUCUAUAAGAGAAGAAAUAUGGGAAGGUUAUUGCAGAAACUCAUCAGUGUAUAUCCAAAGCACAGGUCCUGCUCGGACAGGCGUCUGUGCCCUUCUGUGCUCCGUACCUGUGACUUCCAUUUUAACUGAGAGCUUUGUGGGCAAUGAGGGUGUCAGUCCACCGUGAGGGGCAGUCAUACCUUGGUCACCGCCGUACACCUCCAGCAUGCUGUUGUUCAGGGACACCUUCAGAAGAAAGAGAGAAAGUAAGUCUAGAUUUACACACGGACAUUAAAUCUUCACCAUGUGUAGUUCUUCUGCAUGUAUGUAAUCUUUUAUCCAGUCUAUCUUGCUCCACGUGUAAUACGUUUGGUGUUUUGUUACAUGCAUGAUUUUUUUAUGCAGACUUACUGUAUAUUAAGAGUAAAAACCUAAAACAACACCAGACAUUCUCUGUUCAUCAGACUUCGACUUCAACUUAUUACACACUGAUUUUGUGGAAUAAAAUGUGUUGAUUAAAGCAUAAUCAAAUGUAAAACAUAACACAAGGAUGUGUAGGAUGUUAUGAAUGAUGGGCGUUUAAAUCCUGGAUAUAUGCAGCGCUAACAUACAAACCUUGUAAUUAAAUAUUAUUCAAAAAGUUGUAAAUAAAACAAAGAUUAUUGGAGUACAUUUUACUAGAAAACACUAUUUCAGUUUUUCUACUUCCCAAUUUUUACACAUAAAUCAAUGCUGUUUCUUUGUAGUUGAAAAAAAUAGUUUCCACACCAUUUUUUGUGCAAUUCAAUAUAAGUUUUAAAUGAGCUGAGAAAAUCAGCAAAAAGAUGCAGCACUUCAAGAGACAAAAGAGGGCGCUGUGGAGCAAGUGAUUUUUAUUUAUUUGUUUGUUUUUGCUAAACAAAAAUAAACAAAGAUAUUAUUAUAGUUUGCAUUACUAUUUUGAAUUAUUUUUUAUUUUUAUUGUGAUUUUCUAUUUUCAUUUUAAAUUUUAGUAAAAGUUUUAGUAAUUUUGUUGUGGUUUUGUAGUUUUUAUUUUAUUUUUUAAUAUCUAUAGAGUUCUAUACAUUUCAGUUAUUUUAGUACAAAUUAAACUAAAUGAAAAUGAGAAAUACUGCCUAGGCAACUAGCCAAAAUCAUUUUUUUUAAAAUAUAUAAUACAUGUAUAUUAAGUUAAAGAUUAUUAUUAUUAUUAACUAUAAUAAGCCUGAAUUGAGUAUGAUUUUUUUUUCUUCCCUGACUACCAAUCCCACAAAAGCCAGAGCUGUGGAAAGCCAAUUUCUGUCAGCGUCAUGGAUGAAAAAGCGAAGUGUACAGGAUUAAAGAGGAGGUCAGAGCGUUACAGCAGGCGUUAUAGUGUUUCCUCCGCUCGUACACGCUCUCCAUUAUCUCAGUGGGGGAAAGAGCUCGCUUAUCAACAUGAAAGAUUGCCACGGCCCCUUGACUGUUCGCGUCGUAAUCGCUUCAAUCCAUUCCCAUCAUGUUAGCAGAUAUGUUGACACGGGGAAGCGGCUUGAUGCGUCGUGCUGUAUUACUAAUUAGAACGAAUUGAUCCGUUUAAGCAUGCUAUCAUUUCUGAACAAGUCCACUGGGAGAGAAGAUAUUAGCUCAAUCCGAUGCUCGACUGCUUACUCAGAUACAAAACUCUCGCUCGCUCUUUCUCUCUCUCUAUCUGCCUUAUUCGUUCCCGUCAUGCUCUUUAUUUUGUUCAACAGUAUCACAUACCUCUCUAGUGAGUUCAGGUGUUGCUGUAAUCACGGCUCAAGAGAUGCUUUGUCCCUCCACAGACGUCAGUAUGACCUUUACAAUUUCAUGCUGGUCUCACACAUACUUGGGCCGCUUGUGUGCGCACAUGCUUACCUAAGGCUUUUCUCCUUCUGUUUUGGAGAAGUGAUCACUCAUUAACAUAGUCGGGCUCUUCUAAGACAUACCUCUCUGCAUGCCCACAUCAUUACCAGACUAAUCUGUAUUGUUCCACUGUUUAAAGCCUGAGAUUUAAGUCUGGUUCCCCUUUGACUCUCAGCUGGACUCGGUGUGACCUCACGCAAAGACAAACCCCUUUUCGCAAGCAUACCAAAGACCAGCACGUGUUUGUGUUAUUAAUGUGUUUAAUUCAUUAUAUAUGAAUGUAGCUUACAUUUUGGAUUCAGACAUGUUUUAUUCAUCUAAAUGUGUGUAUAUUUACGGUCGCGGCAGCCGUUGUGUGAAGACCGAAGACGGACAGGGACACCGGCAAAGGAUAUAAGUAUCGCCUAUUAUUUUUUCCUCUUUCCUACUACUUGUUUCACUUCUGUUUCAGUUUUUAUAACCAUUCCUUACCAUGUGUAAGUAAGUUGUUGUUGUUUUUUUAGCAUGUGUGUUUGGCUCAGUGUUAUUUUUUAGGAUUACUGAUAAACUAAUGUAGUUUGAUUUGUAUUUGUUAUCUAUUUUAGCUUUAGUUACAGUUGUAGUAAUGUUGUCAUUUUAUUAGUUUUUUUAUGUCUGUCUAAGUUUUAGUUUUAUUUAAUUCGAGUUAUUUUAGUACUUCAGCAUACUACAUGGAAAUGAAAUAAUAUAUAUAUUGAAUUUAUAUAUAUAUAUAUAUAUAUACAGAGCUGGGUAGUAACUGAUUACAUGUAAUCUGGAUUACAUAAUCAGAUUCCAAAAAUUAAGUACUUGUAAUUAGAGUAAGUUACAUUUUAAAAUACUCAUAAUCAGACUACAGUUACUUUUUUAUGGAUUACAUGAUUACAUAUUAUUCACACAAUAGCAAUACAUUAUUCAUAAUUCAUUGAUUCUCCCUAAUUUCUCUUUUUCAUCUUUUAAAUUUUCAUUUCUAAAAUAGCCUAGCAAUUAUAUACAUAUUAUAUAUGUAUAAAUAGUCCAGUUUUGUGGACAUUCACACAAAGAUCAGUCAUUAGUCAGGUGGCGACCACUGGACCACUGGAUUUACAAAAAUCAUUUCAGGUUUAAGAAGGGUUUCAACAUUGCAUCAGCUACUGAUGAACACAUUCAUUUUUAUUUGAAUUAUUACUCUGUAGGUUUUUUUAACCAUGUAUUAUUAAUUAUAACUAAUUAAAAUGCACAUAUUCACAUUAUUUCUUAGUUACAUGCAAUGCAGGCAUUCCAAAACUUUUCGUCAUCUAAACCUUAUUCACCAAAUAUAUUUGCUUUAAGUACCCCCAAGAUUUUAAAAUAAAUAUUUCAAUAAUUAAGUAUCACAUUUGCAUGUUCACGGUUUCUUUUAUGUCGAUUAAUGAUCACAUGGCAUGCAGGUAAAUAAAAAUAUUUCAUCUUUUUUAGUAAGUGUUUUAUUUAAAACAAUGACUAUAAAUACAAAGACGGUUCUCUCCUAUACUUAUGAAUGAGAGAAACUGCAACGUGCAAUAUGGAGGAAUAGUCCCACCUUCUAAAUGAAAGAGCCAAAUUUCCCAUAAAAACCUGACUAGACCAGCCAAUGCACAUGCGCUGUAUAAGCACGUUAGGACUCCGCAUGCGCAUUGGCUGGUCUAGCCUGAAAAAUAAGCUUUUAAACGCUAUUUGAGCAUAAGAGACAACAUUCAUGGGGCAAUUAAUUUCAGAUUUUUGUUGCUGAUUUAAUUGUGGUUUCAGCGAGCGAGGAUUCCCCCAUUCAUUAAGAUAGGUCUUGUACGAGCUGAUCGUUUAUCACUAAAUCAAUGUGAUCAACGAGUUAAAUCAAAAGUAAUCCAAAAGUAAUCCAAAAGUAAUCUGAUUAUAUUACCUAAAAUGUGUAAUGUAACGGAUU